This 394-nucleotide ribosomal RNA is filed under the name uncultured bacterium. RNAcentral's name for it is "bacterial SSU rRNA". It matches the Rfam family "Bacterial small subunit ribosomal RNA", at positions 144 to 518 of the family's 1533-position model. The record is from RNAcentral.
UAACAUCCGGAAACGGGUGCUAAUACCGCAUAGUUUUCUUGGUCGCAUGAUCGGGAAAGGAAAGACGGCCUUUGUAGCUGUCGCUUAUGGAUGGACCCGCGGCGUAUUAGUUAGUUGGUGAGGUAACGGCUCACCAAGACGAUGAUACGUAGCCGACCUGAGAGGGUGAUCGGCCACAUUGGGACUGAGACACGGCCCAAACUCCUACGGGAGGCAGCAGUAGGGAAUCUUCCGCAAUGGACGAAAGUCUGACGGAGCAACGCCGCGUGAGUGAAGUAAAAGGUUUUCGGAUCGUAAAACUCUGUUGUCAGAGAAGAACAAGUUGGAGAGUAACUGCUCCAGCCUUGACGGUAUCUGACCAGAAAGCCACGGCUAACUACGUGCCAGCAGCCGC